GCCGUGGUGGCGGAAUUGGUAGACGCGCAGGACUUAAAAUCCUGUGGUAGCAAUACCGUGCCGGUUCGAUUCCGGCCCUCGGCACCA
RNAcentral lists this transfer RNA (87 nucleotides) under Candidatus Shapirobacteria bacterium CG_4_10_14_0_8_um_filter_39_15. Its description in RNAcentral is "tRNA-Leu". It matches the Rfam family "tRNA". Rfam says of the family: Transfer RNA (tRNA) molecules are approximately 80 nucleotides in length. Their secondary structure includes four short double-helical elements and three loops (D, anti-codon, and T loops). The record is from RNAcentral. Lineage: Bacteria; Candidatus Shapironibacteriota. RNAcentral also lists the same sequence under 2 other names.